UACGUAGGGUGCGAGCGUUAAUCGGAAUUACUGGGCGUAAAGCGUGCGCAGGCGGUUCGUUAAGUUCGUUGUGAAAGCCCCGGGCUUAACCUGGGAACUGCGUUUGAAACUACAAGGCUAGAGUGUGACAGAGGGGGGUGGAAUUCCACGUUGUAGCAGGUGAAAUGCGUAGAGAUGUGGAGGAACACCGAUGGCGAAGGCAGCCCCCUGGGUUAACACUGA
RNAcentral lists this ribosomal RNA (222 nucleotides) under uncultured bacterium. RNAcentral describes it as "partial 16S ribosomal RNA". It matches the Rfam family "Bacterial small subunit ribosomal RNA", at positions 524 to 743 of the family's 1533-position model. The record is from RNAcentral.